This 473-nucleotide ribosomal RNA is filed under the name uncultured soil bacterium. Its description in RNAcentral is "bacterial SSU rRNA". It matches the Rfam family "Bacterial small subunit ribosomal RNA", at positions 26 to 518 of the family's 1533-position model. The record is from RNAcentral.
AGGACGAACGCUGGCGGCGUGCUUAACACAUGCAAGUCGAGCGGUAAGGCCUUUCGGGGUACACGAACGGCGAACGGGUGAGUAACACGUGGGUGAUCUGCCCUGCACUUCGGGAUAAGCCUGGGAAACUGGGCCUAAUACCGGAUAUGACCUCCUAUCGCAUGGUGGGUGGUGGAAAGAUUUAUCGGUGCAGGAUGGGCCCGCGGCCUAUCAGCUUGUUGGUGGGGUAAUGGCCUACCAAGGCGACGACGGGUAGCCGACCUGAGAGGGUGACCGGCCACACUGGGACUGAGACACGGCCCAGACUCCUACGGGAGGCAGCAGUGGGGAAUAUUGCACAAUGGGCGAAAGCCUGAUGCAGCGACGCCGCGUGAGGGAUGACGGCCUUCGGGUUGUAAACCUCUUUCAGCAGGACGAAGCGCAAGUGACGGUACUGCAGAAGAAGCACCGGCUAACUACGUGCCAGCAGCCGC